RNAcentral lists this ribosomal RNA (253 nucleotides) under uncultured bacterium. RNAcentral's name for it is "partial 16S ribosomal RNA". It matches the Rfam family "Bacterial small subunit ribosomal RNA", at positions 524 to 776 of the family's 1533-position model. The record is from RNAcentral.
UACAGAGGUCUCAAGCGUUGUUCGGAUUCAUUGGGCGUAAAGGGCGCGUAGGCGGCGACUCUAGUCAGAUGUGAAAGUCCUGGGCUUAACCUGGGGACUGCAUUUGAUACUGGGUUGCUUGAAUUCGGGAGAGGAUAGCGGAAUUCCCAGUGUAGAGGUGAAAUUCGUAGAUAUUGGGAAGAACACCGGUGGCGAAGGCGGCUAUCUGGACCGACAUUGACGCUGAGGCGCGAAAGCGUGGGGAGCAAACAGG